AAAGAAAAAAAAUAUCAGCACAAAUUGCAUUUAAAAAUAUAUUUGUCAUAUUCGUAAGAAAUAUAUUUCAGUAGAGUAAGAAUUUUUUUUCUUCUUCAGGUCAGUACGAUCCUAGCAAAAGCCCUAAUCCAAAGCAACAGCUACAUGUGACGAUAAAAGUCAUUAGUGCCCAAUUUUUGCCAAAACCAAAUCAAGCAUCUGACGGUGAGGUCGUGGAUCCAUAUGUCUCCAUAAAAGUUGUUGGACAUCCCCUGGAUUCGCAAAAGACCAAAACUAAGUUCAUCAGCAACAACGGAUUCAAUCCGACGUGGAAUCAAAAUUUAACAUUUGUGAUCAACGCACCAGAAGAAGCGAUAUUCCAUUUUCGAGUGAAGGAUGAAAACCUGACAGGCAACAGCCUCAUUGGACAGUUUGCUCUGCCCUGCACAUCCAUGGUGGAAGGUAACUAUAUGAGAUCUCUUAAAUUUUGA
This is a non-coding RNA of Parasteatoda tepidariorum (common house spider), 470 nucleotides long. Lineage: Eukaryota; Metazoa; Arthropoda; Arachnida; Araneae; Theridiidae. The record is from RefSeq and is a predicted model, not a curated record.